Eriocheir sinensis (Chinese mitten crab) is the source of this 1285-nucleotide RNA transcript. RefSeq lists it as uncharacterized. The transcript is spliced from 10 exons. NCBI's taxonomy places the organism in Eukaryota, Metazoa, Arthropoda, Malacostraca, Decapoda, Varunidae. The record is from RefSeq and is a predicted model, not a curated record.
GGAAGGUUAUCGCGUGGUGGUGGUCGUUUUUAUGGUCGUACUUGUCGUGGUAGCAGUUAGUUGACUCUCAAAAGCGACCGAAAUGUGCAGUGCGUGUCAUAGAAAGAUUGGAGAUUAGUGGUGAUGGUGAAAAGGUGACGAAAGAAACAGAAAGGGCGAUGGAACUUUAGAAGGUAGACGAGGCUAUGGCGGCGAUGCUAGGCUACGGGGUCCUUCAAAGAGUCCUUAGGUGAUGGCAGGGAGUCCUUCGUGUGCGCCCUCUCCACCUCAAGGACCCAGCGUAAAGGAGUUCCAUCGUCCUCAUCUUCCAACGAUGUUGACGAACCUGCAUCUUCUCCAUCUCCGAGUCGUGAGGGAAGGAAGGACGCGGCGGCACAGACUGGCAGCGCACAGAAAGGUGUUCCCGAGCCUCCCCUUACCUGCCCUCACCUGCCUCGUUUUGCCUCACCCUCCUCUCCUCGUUCGCCCUCGGGUUCCUCGAGCGCUGCUGCCUCGGCCUCUUUGAACCCUCUGUGAUGAUGGUUGGAUCCAAGGCCCAGGCCGGGGCGGAGCCACACUCCGGGGAGGAUUGUUGACAUGACGGUGGGCAGAUAUAAAAUACUUAAGAGACUUGGACAUGCGCACGUAGCAGAGCUCGUACGUCCCCUGAUGGUGUCGUGAGGCCGCGGUGACGCCGAAUCCUGUUCCCUAUAAUGGCCGUGGUUGACGACGGUUCUUUCAGCGUCACAUUCCUGCAGGAGUCCACGGACCCACUCAUACGCCGCCUGCAGCAGCGACGUGACGUGUUCCCGACAUGGUGAGAUGCUGUUCUUGCCCUGUCCAAAGGGACUCGUGCUUUAUUGAUGUACGAGGCGUACGUGAAGUUCUUAUUUCUUGAAACAUUAAAGCAGGAGGACGGGUGGUACACCUUGGAGGACGCGGUGACCAGCUCCCAGAUUGGGUGGUACUUUCCAAAACACACGCCUUGGAAGAGCAAGUUUGACCACGGCAGCUGUCCUGGGUUGAUUCGGCACUGGCGCAAGGUAACCACUUGAAGAGAAAAGCAUGAAUAUCAUCUCACUGAAAAGUUUCAGUUUACUGAAUGUUAUUUGCAAAGGAAAACAAAUAUGCACGAGUUUACUGCACGAAUUUACUGGAUUCCACUUAAUGUUCGCAAAAGUAAUAACCUUAAUAUUUUUUUUAUGUAUUAAUGAAGGAAAUAAAAGAUUAUCUUAAAGUCAGAUGUAACGUAAUUUUGAGACCAUUCAGCAUUGUUCUUUAAAACAACUAAAUUUGAUAACACUGG